CCGGUGUCAUGGCGCUAAAGUCUGUGUCCUGCACACGUUGCUGAGAGCUCCUCAGUUUGCUGGGCCACCUCUGUGGCUUCUACUGGCUGCACGCUGCAUGGGAAGAACUCCGGGAGACCCUGAGGCCACGCAAUGAUCAAGGCAAGUGUUUUGAGCAGGUUUAAAAGAUCCAAGGCUUGACAGUGAUGUUUGAUUGAUCAGGAAGCAGUGACCUUUGAAGAUGUGGCUGUGAAUUUCACCAUGGAGGAGUGGACUUUGCUGAAUCCAUCCCAGAAGAAGCUCUACAGAGAUGUGAUGAGGGAGACUUUUAGGAAC
This is a non-coding RNA of Heterocephalus glaber (naked mole-rat), 315 nucleotides long. The record is from RefSeq and is a predicted model, not a curated record. NCBI's taxonomy places the organism in Eukaryota, Metazoa, Chordata, Mammalia, Rodentia, Bathyergidae.